UAAGAGAGAGUCAGGGGUCUGGAGUCGGGUGCAAUGGAGGACCAGAGCUGGAGAGGUGGAGGCGGUGGCUCCGUGGCUUGGAAGCGAAGGUUGGGUGAGCAAUUGAAUGGUCAUCCCGUUCAGAGACAGAGAAAGAGACGAGUUUAAUUACCAUUCCCUCCAGCUAGGAAGUAUCGCGGCACCAUCCUAUUUGACGAAGCCAUGAGUAGAAAAUUCUUUGAUGAGAAUUGCUUCUGCUUCUAGUCUUCUUAUUUCAGAUCUUCAGAUCAGAGGGGGCUAGUCUCCACUCGUUCUACCUAACCCGUGGUCA
This 310-nucleotide long non-coding RNA is filed under the name Phoenix dactylifera (date palm). Its description in RNAcentral is "long non-coding RNA (PDAC_LNC006976)". Lineage: Eukaryota; Viridiplantae; Streptophyta; Magnoliopsida; Arecales; Arecaceae. The record is from RNAcentral.